Unclassified non-coding RNA from Oncorhynchus mykiss (rainbow trout), 299 nucleotides. It matches the Rfam family "Metazoan signal recognition particle RNA". Rfam says of the family: The signal recognition particle (SRP) is a universally conserved ribonucleoprotein. It is involved in the co-translational targeting of proteins to membranes. Lineage: Eukaryota; Metazoa; Chordata; Actinopteri; Salmoniformes; Salmonidae. The record is from Ensembl.
GCCGGGUUCAGUGGCAUGUGCCUGUAAUCCAAGUCACUGGGAGGCUGAGGUUGGUGGAUCAAGUGAGCUGAGGAGCUCUGGGCUGCAGCACGCUAUGUCGAACGGGUGUCCACGGUAAGUUUGGUAUCGAUAUGGUGUUCCUGGGGGAGCCUGGGACCACCAGGUUGUCUAAGGAGGGGUGAACCGGCCCAGGUCGGAAACGAAGCAGGUCAAAUCCCCCGUGCUGUCCAGUAGUGGGAUAAUACCUGUGAGUAGAUGCUGCAGUGCAGCCUUGGCAAAACAUCGAGACCUAAUCUUUU